Molecule: non-coding RNA, 66 nt
Filed under: Leifsonia sp.
Lineage: Bacteria; Bacillati; Actinomycetota; Actinomycetes; Micrococcales; Microbacteriaceae
Source: RNAcentral
CAUGGCUUCCAAGACGGCGGCCCCGGACGAGGGAUCAGUACCCGGAAUGCGACAAGACUGGCCACG